CACGUGUCAUCCUGCCUGCCGGGCGGCGGCACCGUUUGUCGCCCGGCCAAAGUCCUCGAAAACCUCCUCUCUUCGGAGCGGCGGCUCGGGGUAAAAGAACCCACGGCGCCGAAGGCGUCAAGGAACACUGUGCCUAACCCGGGGACGCGGCUGGCUUGCUGGCCGCACCUUGGUUUGCAAUGCUAUAUAAUCCACACGACUCUCGGCAACGGAUAUCUCGGCUCUCGCAUCGAUGAAGAACGUAGCGAAAUGCGAUACCUGGUGUGAAUUGCAGAAUCCCGCGAACCAUCGAGUCUUUGAACGCAAGUUGCGCCCGAGGCCUUCUGGCCGAGGGCACGCCUGCCUGGGCGUCACGCCAAACACGCUCCCACCCCACUAAACCUGGGGUGGGAUGCGGCAUGUGGCUCCCCGUCUCGCAAGGGGCGGUGGGCCGAAGAUCCGGCUGCCGGUGUAUCGUGCCGGACACAGCGCGUGGUAGGCGAUCUCGCUAUACUAAACGCAGUGCAUYCGGCGCGUAGCCGGCGUAAUGCCCUCAA
RNAcentral lists this unclassified non-coding RNA (536 nucleotides) under Festuca floribunda. Its description in RNAcentral is "sequence contains ITS1, 5.8S rRNA gene, ITS2". Lineage: Eukaryota; Viridiplantae; Streptophyta; Magnoliopsida; Poales; Poaceae. The record is from RNAcentral.